CGUGACCGACCUGCCCCAUACACCGGAAUAGCUCCUGGAAACGGGUGGUAAUGCCGGAUGCUCCAGUUGGAUGCAUGUCCUUCUGGGAAAGAUUCAUCGGUAUGGGAUGGGGUCGCGUCCUAUCAGCUUGAUGGCGGGGUAACGGCCCACCAUGGCUUCGACGGGUAGCCGGCCUGAGAGGGCGACCGGCCACAUUGGGACUGAGAUACGGCCCAGACUCCUACGGGAGGCAGCAGUGGGGAAUAUUGCACAAUGGGCGCAAGCCUGAUGCAGCGACGCCGCGUGCGGGAUGACGGCCUUCGGGUUGUAAACCGCUUUUGACUGGGAGCAAGCCCUUCGGGGUGAGUGUACCUUUCGAAUAAGCACCGGCUAACUACGUGCCAGCAGCCGCGGUAAUACGUAGGGUGCAAGCGUUAUCCGGAAUUAUUGGGCGUAAAGGGCUCGUAGGCGGUUCGUCGCGUCCGGUGUGAAAGUCCAUCGCUUAACGGUGGAUCCGCGCCGGGUACGGGCGGGCUUGAGUGCGGUAGGGGAGACUGGAAUUCCCGGUGUAACGGUGGAAUGUGUAGAUAUCGGGAAGAACACCAAUGGCGAAGGCAGGUCUCUGGGCCGUCACUGACGCUGAGGAGCGAAAGCGUGGGGAGCGAACAGGAUUAGAUACCCUGGUAGUCCACGCCGUAAACGGUGGAUGCUGGAUGUGGGGACCAUUCCACGGUCUCCGUGUCGGAGCCAACGCGUUAAGCAUCCCGCCUGGGGAGUACGGCCGCAAGGCUAAAACUCAAAGAAAUUGACGGGGGCCCGCACAAGCGGCGGAGCAUGCGGAUUAAUUCGAUGCAACGCGAAGAACCUUACCUGGGCUUGACAUGUUCCCGACAGCCCCAGAGAUGGGGCCUCCCUUCGGGGCGGGUUCACAGGUGGUGCAUGGUCGUCGUCAGCUCGUGUCGUGAGAUGUUGGGUUAAGUCCCGCAACGAGCGCAACCCUCGCCCUGUGUUGCCAGCACGUCGUGGUGGGAACUCACGGGGGACCGCCGGGGUCAACUCGGAGGAAGGUGGGGAUGACGUCAGAUCAUCAUGCCCCUUACGUCCAGGGCUUCACGCAUGCUACAAUGGCCGGUACAACGGGAUGCGACACUGUGAGGUGGAGCGGAUCC
Molecule: ribosomal RNA, 1148 nt
Filed under: uncultured bacterium
Lineage: Bacteria
Description: bacterial SSU rRNA
Rfam family: Bacterial small subunit ribosomal RNA
Source: RNAcentral